This 1465-nucleotide ribosomal RNA is filed under the name bacterium Irt-JG1-64. RNAcentral's name for it is "bacterial SSU rRNA". It matches the Rfam family "Bacterial small subunit ribosomal RNA". The record is from RNAcentral.
ACGCUGGCGGCGUGCUUAACACAUGCAAGUCGAGCGAAGCAAUUUCAAGGAAGUUUUCGGACGGAAUUGAAAUUGACUGAGCGGCGGACGGGUGAGUAACGCGUGGGUAACCUGCCUCAUACAGGGGGAUAACAGUUGGAAACGACUGCUAAUACCGCAUAAGCACACAGUGCCGCAUGGCACGGUGUGAAAAACUCCGGUGGUAUGAGAUGGACCCGCGUCUGAUUAGCUAGUUGGUGAGAUAAAGGCCCACCAAGGCGACGAUCGGUAGCCGGACUGAGAGGUUGAACGGCCACAUUGGGACUGAGACACGGCCCAGACUCCUACGGGAGGCAGCAGUGGGGGAUAUUGCACAAUGGAGGAAACUCUGAUGCAGCAACGCCGCGUGAGGGAAGACGGUUUUCGGAUUGUAAACCUCUGUCCUUGGUGAAGAUAAUGACGGUAGCCAAGGAGGAAGCUCCGGCUAACUACGUGCCAGCAGCCGCGGUAAUACGUAGGGAGCAAGCGUUGUCCGGAUUUACUGGGUGUAAAGGGUGCGUAGGCGGCACUGCAAGUCAGGCGUGAAAGCCGGAGGCUUAACCUCCGAACUGCGUUUGAAACUGUGGUGCUUGAGUGAAGUAGAGGUAGGCGGAAUUCCCGGUGUAGCGGUGAAACGCGUAGAGAUCGGGAGGAACACCAGUGGCGAAGGCGGCUUACUGGGCUUUAACUGACGCUGAGGCACGAAAGCAUGGGUAGCAAACAGGAUUAGAUACCCUGGUAGUCCAUGCCGUAAACGAUGAUUACUAGGUGUGGGGGGUCUGACCCCUUCCGUGCCGGAGUUAACACAAUAAGUAAUCCACCUGGGGAGUACGGCCGCAAGGUUGAAACUCAAAGGAAUUGACGGGGGCCCGCACAAGCAGUGGAGUAUGUGGUUUAAUUCGAAGCAACGCGAAGAACCUUACCAGGUCUUGACAUCCAACUAACGAAGCAGAGAUGCAUCAGGUGCCCUUCGGGGAAAGUUGAGACAGGUGGUGCAUGGUUGUCGUCAGCUCGUGUCGUGAGAUGUUGGGUUAAGUCCCGCAACGAGCGCAACCCUUGUGAUUAGUUGCUACGCAAGAGCACUCUAAUCAGACUGCCGUUGACAAAACGGAGGAAGGUGGGGACGACGUCAAAUCAUCAUGCCCUUUAUGACCUGGGCUACACACGUACUACAAUGGCUGUUAACAAAGGGAAGCAAUACCGCGAGGUGGAGCAAAACCUAAAAAACAGUCUCAGUUCGGAUCGUAGGCUGCAACCCGCCUACGCUGAAGUUGGAAUUGCUAGUAAUCGCGGAUCAUCAUGCCGCGGUGAAUACGUUCCCGGGCCUUAUACACACCGCCCGUCACACCAUGGGAGCCGGUAAUACCCGAAGUCAGUAGCCUAACCGCAAGGGAGGCGCUGCCGAAGGUAGGAUUGGCGACUGGGGUGAAGUCGUAACAAGGUAGCC